This 429-nucleotide ribosomal RNA is filed under the name Pseudomonadota bacterium. RNAcentral's name for it is "Proteobacteria bacterium partial 16S ribosomal RNA". It matches the Rfam family "Bacterial small subunit ribosomal RNA", at positions 355 to 776 of the family's 1533-position model. The record is from RNAcentral. Lineage: Bacteria; Pseudomonadati; Pseudomonadota.
UGGGGAAUAUUGGACAAUGGGCGAAAGCCUGAUCCAGCCAUGCCGCGUGUGUGAAGAAGGUCUUCGGAUUGUAAAGCACUUUAAGUUGGGAGGAAGGGCAGUAAGCGAAUACCUUGCUGUUUUGACGUUACCGACAGAAUAAGCACCGGCUAACUCUGUGCCAGCAGCCGCGGUAAUACAGAGGGUGCAAGCGUUAAUCGGAAUUACUGGGCGUAAAGCGCGCGUAGGUGGUUCGUUAAGUUGAAUGUGAAAGCCCCGGGCUCAACCUAAGAACUGCAUCCAAAGCUGGCGAGCUAGAGUAGGGCAGAGGGUGGUGGAAGUUCCUGUGUAGCGGUGAAAUGCGUAGAUAUAGGAAGGAACACCAGUGGAGAAGGCGACCACCUGGGCUCAUACUGACACUGAGGUGCGAAAGCGUGGGGAGCAAACAGG